UUAACUCUAAUUAAUUAAUCUCAAUAUUAAUCUAUUCUUAAAUAACAGCAAUAUAACAUAAUAUUAAUAUGUAAAAAAAAACAAAAAAAAACACAAAUUUUAAUUUAUCCAUAUUUAACUAAUAACGUUAUUAUAUUAUAUUCUACUCCUGCUAUUUAAAUAAAUAAUCUCCCUAAUUAUUAUUUUUUACUAAUGUGUUUUAAUAAGACAAAAUGUCCUAGUUAUCAAUGAU
RNAcentral lists this long non-coding RNA (232 nucleotides) under Lathyrus oleraceus (garden pea). RNAcentral's name for it is "Pisum sativum (pea) long non-coding RNA (PSAT_LNC028806)". Lineage: Eukaryota; Viridiplantae; Streptophyta; Magnoliopsida; Fabales; Fabaceae. The record is from RNAcentral.